RNAcentral lists this ribosomal RNA (492 nucleotides) under uncultured bacterium. RNAcentral describes it as "partial 16S ribosomal RNA". It matches the Rfam family "Bacterial small subunit ribosomal RNA", at positions 29 to 507 of the family's 1533-position model. The record is from RNAcentral.
AGUGAACGCUGGCGGUAGGCUUAACACAUGCAAGUCGAACGGCAGCACAGUAAGAGCUUGCUCUUACGGGUGGCGAGUGGCGGACGGGUGAGGAAUACAUCGGAAUCUACUUUUUCGUAGGGGAUAACGUAGGGAAACUUACGCUAAUAACGCAUACGACCUACGGGUGAAAGCAGGGGAUCUUCGGACCUUGCGCGAUUGAAUGAGCCGCUGUCGGAUUAGCUAGUUGGCGGGGUAAAGGCCCACCAAGGCGACGAUCCGUAGCUGGUCUGAGAGGAUGAUCAGCCACACUGGAGCUGAGACACGGUCAAGACUCCUACGAGAGGCAGCAGUGGGGAAUAUUGGACAGUGGGCGCAAGCCUGAUCCAGCCAUACCGAGUGGGUGAAGAAGGCCUUCGGGUUGUAAAGCCCUUUUGUUGGGAAAGAAAAGCAGCAGGUUAAUACCCCGCUGUCCUGACGGUACCCAAAGAAUAAGCACCGGCUAACUUCGUG